This 783-nucleotide non-coding RNA is filed under the name Hygrotus inaequalis. The record is from RNAcentral. Lineage: Eukaryota; Metazoa; Arthropoda; Insecta; Coleoptera; Dytiscidae.
AUAAAGUUUAAUUUUAGUUUUUUGGUUUAUUUAAAUUUUUAUUUACAUGUAAAUUUAUGUGAGAAUUUAAAGGUCAUUUAAAUAGUGAUUUUUAAAAAUUUUAUUCGCAGUAUUUAAUUUUAUUAAUUUAAGAAAUUAUGAAUUAUAAAUAAUUAAUAGUAUUGACAAAAUUUGUGCCAGCAGUUGCGGUUAUACAAAAAAUGCAAAUAAAUUUUAUUGAUUAAUAAUUAAAUUAAUUUAUUUUUAUUAAAAUUAGUUUUAUAAAGUGAAAUUUAAAAAUUAAAAUAUUAAUUAUGAAAUUUGUUGAAGUUAUGAAAUUUAAGUUUUAAACUAGGAUUAGAUACCCUAUUAUUUUAAAUGUUAAAUUAUUUAUCAAAGUAGUAUUAGUUAUGAUCUUGAAAUUUAAAAAUUUUGGCGGUGUUUUAGUCUAUUUAGAGGAACCUGUUCUUUAAUUGAUAGUCCACGAUAAAUUAUACUUUAUUUUAUUAGUUUGUAUAUCGUCGUUAUUAAGUAUUUUAGAAGAAUAUUAAUAUUUAAUAUUUUUAAUUUAAAUAUAUUUCAGAUCAAGGUGCAGCUUAUAUUAAAGUAGAAAUGGGUUACAAUAAAUUUAUUUAUACGAAUUUGUUAAUGAAAAUAAUAAUGAAGGUGGAUUUAAUAGUAAUAGAAUUAAUAUAAAUUUUAUGAUUUUAGCUCUAAAAUGUGUACAUAUCGCCCGUCGCUCUUGUUAUAAAAUAAGAUAAGUCGUAACAAAGUAGAUGUACUGGAAAGUGUAUCUAGAAAGAC